RNAcentral lists this ribosomal RNA (1229 nucleotides) under Clostridium botulinum. RNAcentral's name for it is "bacterial SSU rRNA". It matches the Rfam family "Bacterial small subunit ribosomal RNA", at positions 1 to 1247 of the family's 1533-position model. Lineage: Bacteria; Bacillati; Bacillota; Clostridia; Eubacteriales; Clostridiaceae. The record is from RNAcentral.
UUUUAAAUUUAGAGUUUGAUCCUGGCUCAGGACGAACGCUGGCGGCGUGCUUAACACAUGCAAGUCGAGCGAUGAAGCUUCCUUCGGGAAGUGGAUUAGCGGCGGACGGGGGAGUAACACGUGGGUAACCUGCCUCAAAGUGGGGGAUAGCCUUCCGAAAGGAAGAUUAAUACCGCAUAAUAUAAGAGAAUCGCAUGAUUUUCUUAUCAAAGAUUUAUUGCUUUGAGAUGGACCCGCGGCGCAUUAGCUAGUUGGUAAGGUAACGGCUUACCAAGGCAACGAUGCGUAGCCGACCUGAGAGGGUGAUCGGCCACAUUGGAACUGAGACACGGUCCAGACUCCUACGGGAGGCAGCAGUGGGGAAUAUUGCGCAAUGGGGGAAACCCUGACGCAGCAACGCCGCGUGGGUGAUGAAGGUCUUCGGAUUGUAAAGCCCUGUUUUCUAGGACGAUAAUGACGGUACUAGAGGAGGAAGCCACGGCUAACUACGUGCCAGCAGCCGCGGUAAUACGUAGGUGGCGAGCGUUGUCCGGAUUUACUGGGCGUAAAGGGUGCGUAGGCGGAUGUUUAAGUGGGAUGUGAAAUCCCCGGGCUUAACCUGGGGGCUGCAUUCCAAACUGGAUAUCUAGAGUGCAGGAGAGGAAAGCGGAAUUCCUAGUGUAGCGGUGAAAUGCGUAGAGAUUAGGAAGAACACCAGUGGCGAAGGCGGCUUUCUGGACUGUAACUGACGCUGAGGCACGAAAGCGUGGGUAGCAAACAGGAUUAGAUACCCUGGUAGUCCACGCCGUAAACGAUGGAUACUAGGUGUAGGGGGUAUCAACUCCCCCUGUGCCGCAGUUAACACAAUAAGUAUCCCGCCUGGGGAGUACGGUCGCAAGAUUAAAACUCAAAGGAAUUGACGGGGGCCCGCACAAGCAGCGGAGCAUGUGGUUUAAUUCGAAGCAACGCGAAGAACCUUACCUGGACUUGACAUCCCUUGCAUAGCCUAGAGAUAGGUGAAGCCCUUCGGGGCAAGGAGACAGGUGGUGCAUGGUUGUCGUCAGCUCGUGUCGUGAGAUGUUAGGUUAAGUCCUGCAACGAGCGCAACCCUUGUUAUUAGUUGCUACCAUUAAGUUGAGCACUCUAAUGAGACUGCCUGGGUAACUAGGAGGAAGGUGGGGAUGACGUCAAAUCAUCAUGCCCCUUAUGUCCAGGGCUACACACGUGCUACAAUGGUAGGUACAAUAAGA